This is a long non-coding RNA of Homo sapiens (human), 379 nucleotides long. RefSeq lists it as uncharacterized. Lineage: Eukaryota; Metazoa; Chordata; Mammalia; Primates; Hominidae. The transcript has 2 exons. The record is from RefSeq and is a predicted model, not a curated record.
UUCCGUGACCACCGCAGCAUUGCUCCCAGUGGGCACUUCUGUGACCACCGCAGCGUUACUCACAGUAGGCAGGAUACCGAAAUAGCCAAGCACAAGACGCGAAAGGCUAUGGAUCUGAGGUUUCCUCAGUGGAAUGAUGAUGUGGGGCGCUGGAUUGAAGCCGGGGCUCCUGGCGAGUGCGUGAGAUGAAGUGGAAGCAGAAGAAUCAGGUGGUGGUUUAGGAACUCGCAACAACCCCACUUCCGGGGAAAGGAAGAAUAGUCAUUUCCACUUAGCCUUAGUUUUGCUUUCCAAGCUCUCAAUUACCUGCGGUCACAACCUCAGUCAGAAAAUAUUAAAUUAAAAAAAAUUCCAGAAAUAAACAAUUCCCAAGUUUUAA